RNAcentral lists this transfer RNA (74 nucleotides) under Gaiellaceae bacterium. Its description in RNAcentral is "tRNA-Met". It matches the Rfam family "tRNA". Rfam says of the family: Transfer RNA (tRNA) molecules are approximately 80 nucleotides in length. Their secondary structure includes four short double-helical elements and three loops (D, anti-codon, and T loops). RNAcentral also lists the same sequence under 2 other names. The record is from RNAcentral. Lineage: Bacteria; Bacillati; Actinomycetota; Thermoleophilia; Gaiellales; Gaiellaceae.
GGCGGCGUAGCUCAGUUGGUUAGAGCGGCGGACUCAUAACCCGCAGGUCGGUGGUUCGAAUCCACCCGCCGCUA